CAUGUACAUGUACAGUACAUUGUGCAUGUAUUUCUACGCGAACAGCACUGCACAAAUUAACAUGUGUACGUGUGAUUGCCGUUACGGCACGUACGGUUAAUGCAUCCAGCGUGGAACCUGAUGACCUCUCUCCACUUGCGGGCCCGGCACAAGCGUCAAAUUAAUCAGUUUCAUGUGAGCGUGACACUCAUGUGACCGAACCAAAAGCCGGAUGUCGGACAACUUCAACUUGACUCAGUGUAACAACCGUUUGCCAACUCAACUCGGAACAACACUACCAUUGAGCACUGGUGUUUUUCAUACAACU
RNAcentral lists this unclassified non-coding RNA (307 nucleotides) under Acanthaster planci (crown-of-thorns starfish). RNAcentral's name for it is "transmembrane protein 251-like, transcript variant X2". Lineage: Eukaryota; Metazoa; Echinodermata; Asteroidea; Valvatida; Acanthasteridae. The record is from RNAcentral.